This 715-nucleotide ribosomal RNA is filed under the name Haloarcula sp. PCR16SARA4. RNAcentral's name for it is "bacterial SSU rRNA". It matches the Rfam family "Archaeal small subunit ribosomal RNA", at positions 55 to 770 of the family's 1478-position model. Lineage: Archaea; Methanobacteriati; Methanobacteriota; Halobacteria; Halobacteriales; Haloarculaceae. The record is from RNAcentral.
UAGUCGCACGAGUUUAGACCCGUGGCAUAUACGCUCAGUAACACGUGCCCUUUCUACCCUACAGACCGCGAUAACCUCGGGAAACUGAGGCCAUUUGAGGAUAUCCUUCUCACGCUGGAUUGCCGAGAGUAAGAAACGUUCCGGCGCUGUAGGAUGUGGCUGCGGCCGAUUAGGUAAAUGGGGGGGUAACGCCCCACCAUGCCAAUAAUCGGUACGGGUUGUGAAAGCAAGAACCGGAAGACGGUAUCUAAAACAAGAUACCGGGCCCUACGGGGCGCAGCAGGCGCAAAACCUUUACACUGCACAACAGUGCGAUAGGGGGACUCCAAGUGUGAGGGCUUAUACCCCUCUUUUUUCUGUACCGAAAGGUGGUACAGGAACAAGGACUGGGCAAGACCGGUGCCAGCCGCCGCGGUAAUACCGGCAGUCCAAGUGAUGGCCAAUAUUAUUGGGCCUAAACCGUCCGUAGCUGGCUGAACAAGUCCGUUGGAAAAUCAACCCCCUCAAUUGGUCGGCGUCCGGAGAAAACUGCCCGGUUUGGGGCCAAAAAACCCAAGGGGUACGUCCGGGGUAGGAGUAAAAUCCUGUAUUCCUGGACGGACCACCAAUGGGAAAACCACUUCAAGAGGACGGACCCGACGGUGAGGAACAAAAGCGAGGUUCUCCAACCGAAUUACAUACCCGGGUAGUCCUGGCUGUAAACAAUGCUCGCUAG